This is a long non-coding RNA of Formica exsecta, 1060 nucleotides long. RefSeq lists it as uncharacterized. The transcript is spliced from 2 exons. The record is from RefSeq and is a predicted model, not a curated record. Lineage: Eukaryota; Metazoa; Arthropoda; Insecta; Hymenoptera; Formicidae.
AGAUAUCCGCGCGCAUCGUGACUGUUGAUGCAUCUGUCAGUUUUGACAGUUUAUAAGAAAACGUGGGUGAUUCCGGGCCCUACGGAGGAAACUGCUAAAAAUUAAAGUAGGAUAAGACAGUUUAUAUAUAAGUCACAUUAAUAAAUUAAUUCUUAUAAAGAUUAAUAUUACUUCCUUAGUGUAAUAAUUCAUAUAUUAGGCGUCUAUAAGAGAAAUGAAAUAACCGAUUGUUUUGAGGAACGCUGUUAAAACAUUUUCUUUUAUAUGUACGAAUACCCUUUUAAAGCAGCAAUCUACGAAUUUAUCUAAAAAAAAAAAUUAUGAAAAACCUGCUUCAUAAAUUUACAUUUUGGGGAUGGACUAUGAGAGAGAUAUGAGAAUAAUUCAAGGAGUUUGAUCGCUUCAAAUUGUGCAUUAUCCUAUAUUUUUUGUGUGUUUAUUCAUGAACAUUGUAUUGUCAAGAGUCGCUAUAUUGAUCACUUCUAGAUUCCUUAGUAUAAUUAUCAUUUUCCUUCUUGUGCUACUCUCUCUAUUCACAUUUCCUAUGCAAUCACAUGAAUAUCUUAAAAUUUGUAAGUGAGUGAAAAAUAGAAAAUAUCAUAGAUAGUAAUAGAUCAAGCAGUUUCUAUAUCCAUAAUAUUUUGAUGACAAAGAGAAAAAGAGUAUAUAUAAUUUCUCUUUCUUUUUCAUUCACAUGUGCAAUGACAUUCUCUGAAUAAUUAGUUUAUAUAAUUGGAUACUUAUAGCUAUUUUCUUUUUUUAGAGAGAGAUACAAAAAGAUUAUAUAUACAUGCAUAUAUAUCUUUUCUAUUUUUCUACAUCUUGUUCAGAUCUUUUCAUUCAAUCUAUUCUUAUUAUAUAUGUAUGGAAAAUACUAUGCUCUGAAUGCAUAUCUUUUUUUUUUUUCUAUUUAACAUGGUGGCAAAUGUGAGUAGUGGAAAAACAUAGCAAAAAGGGAAAUAACCAUUAGAGAAUCCAAAAGUAAUUAAUACAGAGAUUCUUCUGAUUAUAUUUAUAUAUAUGUAUAUGUGCGUAUAUCGUUAAUACAAAGUUAAUUAGU